RNAcentral lists this long non-coding RNA (651 nucleotides) under Danio rerio (zebrafish). RNAcentral describes it as "lncRNA si:dkey-166k12.6 (ENSDARG00000103815.2)". The record is from RNAcentral. Lineage: Eukaryota; Metazoa; Chordata; Actinopteri; Cypriniformes; Danionidae.
GCUAAUGUCCGACAUUAACGUCAAACAAACAAACGCCCAAACACUCGACGGGAUCCACGCCGUUUACCGCCAAAAAGCUUUUUGGCCCGAGUUCGACACAUCAUCCACAAAAUCCCACCAGGAGUUUGAAACCCAUCUGUAAAGCAGCUUACAAAAGCAGGUGUGUUUCAUUGGGUGAUGUCCUUCAUGGUUUACCCCCGUGAUGAGGCUUUAGAGUGGAUGAUGCAGGAUGAAAUCGUGCUGACUACAACACUAAAUUGGUGAUCGAUUUGGAGACGCUGCGAGGGGAACAUGCUCAACUCCUCAUAACCAUUCUGGACUGCAGUCAACCAGCCGGAGCGCAGGAGAAAUCCACACUGCUGCUGAAGGACCUGGAGGAGGACAUUGAACUGGGCCUGGGAAAAGCACAGCGGAAACAGGAGCACAGGAGGAAUCCAGACUGCUGCUGGAGGACCUGGAGGAGGACAUUGAGCUGGGCCUGGGAGAAGCACAGCGGAAACAGGAGCACAGGAGGAGUCCAGACUGCUGCUGGAGGACCUGGAGGAGGACAUUGAGCUCGGCCUGGGAGAAGCACAGCGGGAACAGGAGCACAGGAGGAGUCCAGACUGCUGCUGGAGGACCUGGAGGAGGACAUUGAGCUGGGCCUGGGAG